This 2111-nucleotide long non-coding RNA is filed under the name Homo sapiens (human). Its description in RNAcentral is "HSALNT0332807". The record is from RNAcentral. Lineage: Eukaryota; Metazoa; Chordata; Mammalia; Primates; Hominidae.
GUCAUUCUAUCUAGUGGCAACUUAGACUAUAAAGCCAUCUCCCAGCUUCCCAAAAGUAAUGUCUGUUUUCUCACUUUCUAAUAAUUACUUCAGAUUUGAAAGUAAGGAGUUGUCACAGUGAAUACAAAUUAGAGUCAGCUUCAGGGUAUUACUAAAUGUGGAUUGUUUUGUUCCGAGUUUUAUCCAUUUUAGGCAGAGUAACAUGAUCAUUUAUAUACAUCUGCCUCUAUGCAGGCUGUGUAGACAUACUCAGAACACCAGCUUCACCUCUUCAGUCUUCUAAGACAGUCUUUCUAAUACUCUAUAUUGUCUAAUAGCUAAGCUAUUGUUAAAUAAAAACACGCAAAUGUUUGCAGUUAGGCUCCCCCCUCCAUUCUCAACCUCUUAAGUGAUACAGACAGUAAAUGCAUUUUGAUGUUUAUUUAGAAAGUUGGCAUCCUGGGACUGUUCACAAGAUAGCUAAUUUGUCUGAAGGUCCCCAGAGACAGUGAAAGUCAUCCCACCAUCUCUCUAGCUGCCCUCAUACCGGGGAAGUAAAAUGCAGCAUAGAACACUGCAGCUCACGUUAUGGAGAACAGUGGUGCUAUGGUGAUUUCCUUUCUAUUCAAAUCAUUUAGUGAGGAUUUACAUAAUUUGCAUUAACGUGUGACUUUCGAUCACUUAUGCUGCAGCAGAGUAUUCGUUGCCUAUGUUCUCUAAGGCACCAGUGUGGUGGUUCAUGUGUCCUUGUAUAAAAGAUUACUGUCCUCCCCAUCCCCAGUCUUUGUAUCUGUGCACCAGAACAAAAUGCCCUCGGAUCAUGGCCACCCAGGCCAGAGAAUGAGGACCCACACUUUAAAAACCCUGUAGAUGAUAGGAUGAGCGGUCCUCAUCCGUCCCCUCCCUGAGAGUGAGGUUGGGUUGGAGUAGAAGGAUGGACUCUGCCAAAUGAUGACAGCAGCCCUGAGAGUCCUUCUCACAGGUGGCCAGCUCUGUCCCCUCCAGCCUCACCACACAUUCCCCUAGUACACAAAGGCAGACCCGGGCAGCCACUCAGCAUGCACAUGUAGCAGUGUCCCCUGUACACUGAAAAGGAAAUUGGGGCUUAGGGUGGGUGGUUACCUUACUUGUACAAAGUCACACAGCUAGCUAAGCAUUCCUGAAAGCCACAGAGGGAGUUGAUGUGCUUAAGGAAAGAAGUAUCGCUUAAUGUGGCCAAAAACCGAUUCCAUUUCUGUACAAAUGCAAGGAGUUUUUGCCAGGAGCCAGGGAUUAAUAGUCUAGAGGAAGGGACUAAUUGUACACAGGAACAAUAUUUACUUUUAUAAUGGGAAUAGUUUGAGACAGUGCAUCUUCUAGACACAAACAUUCAGUAGGAAGGGUUAUGCAUUAAUUCUUUCAUUUAAUGAGCAUUUUAAGCACCUAUUAUGUGCCAAAUAUCUUUUCGUAGCUCUACAACAGUGUUCACUUCUCAAUCUUUUGCUACACCAGAGCGUUGGGACCAUGCUCCCAUUAAUCACCCUGUCUCAAACAACAUGCUUUACCUUCAUUCGUUGAUUUACUCAUCCAUUCCUUCUCAUAGUUUUUAACCUCAAGAGCUCUGAGGUUCAGGGUGGAAUAAUAUGGAGGGCCUUUGAGAGGCUAACUUUUGAACCAAAUCUUCGAGGAUGAACUAGGGUAGUGGCAGGUAGAAAACUGCCUUUAUAUUUAGCCUUCUUUGGUACCUGGUCAUGGAUUUCUUCUUCAAGCAUGAAUGGCAUCAGUUGUCUGGGAGUGAGAUACAGUGUUCGUAUGCUGAGAAACAGAUUAGGCCAUUAAAAAAAAAGUUGUGGCCACGUGUGGUGGCUCACGCCUAUAGUCCCAGCACUUUGGGAGGCCGAGGCAGGGGGAUCACGAGGUCAGGAGAUCGAGACCAUCCUGGCUAAUAUGGCGAAACCCCGUCUCUAGUAAAUAUACAAAAAAUUAGCCAGGUCCUCACAACAGCCCUGUAAGGCAGGUAUUGUACUUUCUUAUAUUUUAUAGUUUGCACUAUUGUGUGCUCCAUGGUUAUAGCAAAAGCUUUGUCUGUAAAAGGCCACAGGGAUAGAAGGCAGAGAGGAAAGUAGAUGUGUGAUGCAGUAUUAAUUAUUGAG